RNAcentral lists this ribosomal RNA (115 nucleotides) under Desulfovibrio sp. OttesenSCG-928-M14. The record is from RNAcentral. Lineage: Bacteria; Pseudomonadati; Thermodesulfobacteriota; Desulfovibrionia; Desulfovibrionales; Desulfovibrionaceae. RNAcentral also lists the same sequence under 1 other name.
GUUGGCUCCCAUGGAGAGGCGGGUACACCCAGUUCCAUUCCGAACCUGGAAGUUAAGCGCCUCAUCGCCGAUGAUACUGCAUAUUUAUGUGUGGGAACGUAGGCCGGGGCCAACA